AUUCCUACGGGGGGCAGCAGUCGAGAAUCAUUCACAAUGGCCGGAAGGCUGAACCAGCCAAGCCGCGUGAAGGACGAAGGUGCCAAGCAUUGUAAACUUCUUUUGUCAAGGGACAAAAUCAGGCUCGAGAGCCUGACCGAGGGUACUUGAAGAAAAAGCAUCGGCUAACUCCGUGCCAGCAGCCGCGGUAAUACGGAGGAUGCGAGCGUUAUCCGGAUUUAUUGGGUUUAAAGGGUGCGUAGGCGGACUGUUAAGUCAGCGGUAAAAGCCCGGGGCUCAACCCCGGCGAGCCGCUGAAACUGGCU
RNAcentral lists this ribosomal RNA (305 nucleotides) under uncultured bacterium. Its description in RNAcentral is "bacterial SSU rRNA". It matches the Rfam family "Bacterial small subunit ribosomal RNA", at positions 335 to 638 of the family's 1533-position model. The record is from RNAcentral.